UAACAGGUCUGCCUGGGCAAACAUGGAUC
Molecule: non-coding RNA, 29 nt
Filed under: Rattus norvegicus (Norway rat)
Lineage: Eukaryota; Metazoa; Chordata; Mammalia; Rodentia; Muridae
Source: RNAcentral